AUGGGCAUCCUGGAUCACUCGGAGGACGAGGAGGAGGAGGGGAGCCACUACGGCGGCAGCGGCGGAGGCGCGAGGUUCGGCGCGCGGCGGCAGAAGCCGAGGUCCAAGAGCCACCACCAGCUGCUGCUCAUGGACAGCGUCGGCGGCGGCGCGGACGGGGAGUGCGCGUCGGAGGAGGAGGAGGUCGUGCCGCUGCCGGAGUACGAGCGGCUGUCCCAGUCCGCGCGCCUCCCGGGCGACGACGACGACCCGGCUGGCGCCGAGGCCCCGCCUCCUCCGGCCGAGCGGAGCGCGUCCCUGACGCCCCCGCCGCGGCAGCAGCAGCAGCAGAAGCCGGCGGCGUGGCGGCUGCUCCAGUACGUGCGGUCCAUGCACAGGUCUUCGAGCUCCGACGGAGACAAGGAGGGGAUCGACGGCGAUAAGGAAAGGGUCGACGGCGACGGCGACGGCGACGGCGAGGGGAGGAAGGACAAGCAGCGGAAGAAGAAGCGCUCCUCGUGGCUGCCGGACCCCGACCGCCGGUGGCCGGUGCAGGGGUUCUACUAG
Molecule: ribosomal RNA, 546 nt
Filed under: Triticum aestivum (bread wheat)
Lineage: Eukaryota; Viridiplantae; Streptophyta; Magnoliopsida; Poales; Poaceae
Description: partial small subunit ribosomal RNA
Source: RNAcentral